CCCGGACGCGCUGGGCGCCCGGGCCCGAGGUCCGCGGGAGAUUGCGCUCCUGGAGCAGCGAAAACGGCCGGAAAACGAGGUGCCGUGAAUGAUAUCAAGGAAGGGGCGUAGGGCUUCGGGAGCCUCGUCUGCUUGUCAGCAGGUGGGGGAUGGGGGAGGCGUGGGUGUAAUGGGGUCGUGAAGUACCCUCGAGCUGCAAACGUCGAUUCGUUGACGGUGAAGGUGAGGGUAUGGGAAAAGGAAGGAAAGGGCCAUGGAGUAGAAAGAAGGCUGAGCAGAGGUUCAGAGAUGUCAGAUGACUUCCUAGGGACGGAGGAUUGCCAGCAGUGUGUGCGGCCACGAGCGUCCUGGGAGAGACGGGUGCUCAAGAAGCAGUCAGCUGCAAAGGGGAACAAGGGUCAGAUGCAAUGAGGACUUUGGGACAUUUUCCUGAAGCUGUAGGGAGUAUGGACAGAUUUUAACAACAGAAGUGACAUGACAAAAUUUGUGUUUUAGGAAGGUGGCUCUGACAGCAAGAGAGCGGAUGGGCAGCGUGGAGAGGUAAGAAACCGGGUGCUGUGACCCAUUGGUAAACAGCCGCCACGGUCCAUGCUGGAGGUGGCUUCCCAGAUGGGAACAGAGAUGGGCAUGUGACAAAACGUUAGUGAUAGACUGCAUUAACUAUGAAAUUCUUUCAACUUUAUAUACGUUUGAAGUUUUUCAUGAUAAGUUGCUUGAAAAAAUAAACUUUACUGGAUUAGUAAUUAAUGCCACAGAUACUCACCUGAAAGAGAAAAAAACGAAAAACAAUUUUUAAAAGUUACUUUGAUUCAGCUGCAUGUAAUCACUGCAAAAAAAUGAUAGCGAGCGUUGUAAGCAACCUGGAAUAAUUAAGUCUCCAUCAGAAAGCACAUAAGCCCAUCCAGAUUUUAAAAGGCUUGAACCUCUAAUCACCUUGCAUUAUUUUUGAACUGUGGAGGGUGACAUUUCUAACUCAGAACAUGUUUUUCAAGAUAGUUCCGCCGGUGAUCGUCUGCCUCCCCCUCCCACUGGUGAUCUUGAGAAGGAUGGUUCAAAACACCAAAUACCCAGAGAUGAAACAAUCUCAUACGUACUUUGUAGCCAUGUUAUAAUUAAGGGAAGACAUCUGUGUCAGUUAUGAAUGACCUAAAAACGAAUUUCUCUAGGACAAGGCUCUAAAUUUUUACAUCACUAACUGGAAAUACUUGAGCCUGGACGCCUAAUAGGAGAAGAUUUUGAUACAGUACUGUGAGUAAAGGUUUAACAAACCCCCUUUCUUCUCUACAGACAGAUUUCACUUUGGGUUGCCUUUUUAACUUGCCCUAGAAACCUGAUGAAGUCACAACGUCAACUGUGUUAUAAAACAUCCUUGCUUGUGUCGGAAGUGCUCUGUGACUGGUACACUGCUUCUGGCUGGACAAAACGGAAUCAUCUUUAAACACCUGUCAGGGAGCCAGAACUUGAGGGUCUCCCUUCACUGAGUUUGGGGAUGUAAAAGGUAAAUCCAGGUAACUAUUAUGAGAUGUGCAAGUUCCCACGGUCUAGGAUUCUAAGCCAGGGCAGUCCCGACGCCUUCAUCUUGCACCUGAGUUGCAUCUGGGGAACCACAGAGCAGCUCUGUGAGGAGCUCACGUGUGCUUACGUGGACUGCAAAGGGGAGCAUCUCAGAAUGCCCCGCUCCCAACGUGUGUUUUUUCUUUAACUUUUUAAAUGAAGCUGCUGCCAGGUGUCGCGGUACAGGAGGAUAAAUGGUCAACCUCAGAAGAUCUCCUACUGAGCAUUUAACAAUUUCUUACAUCUCCCCCUGAAAAUCUUACAGGUUCCGCUUCACUUUCAGUUAAAAGUGAAUAUAGAAGCCUUACUCUUCUGUCAACAUGGACUGAAAAGUCUAGGGCCCCAUCCUCCUGCUAUAAGACAGAUUUUGCAAAAAAAAAAAAAAAAGAUUGUUGGAUUGCUGGGCUUUAGAAAUUAAAACAAAUCUCCAGGGGAUCAAGAAAGAAGCAGGGAGGUGGGGGAGGGCGUGAGCUAUAAAUAGUGAGGGUGUAAGAAAGGCAGGUUUCCCUGAGGGAAGGUACCCCUGUUAGCACUGCCAAUAGGAAAUAAGCCCUUGGGCCUCUGUGGUGGUGAGAAUAUGAACGUGAGGCUCCCGGUUUAAGCCAGCGAUCCUGGAAGGCCUUCCUCAUAUUAUGCUCCCCUGUUUUUCACAGUUUAAGGUCAAGCAACUGUGGGGGGCCUCGGUGGCUCAGUCAGUCAUACAUCAGAUUCUUGAUUUCGGCUCAGGUCAUGACCUCAUGGUUCGUGACGUUGAGCCCUGCGUCGGGCUCUGCACUGACAGCACGGAGCCUGCUUUGAUCCUCUCUCUCUCCCUCUCUCUGCCCCUCCCCCACUCACACUCUCUCUCAAAAUGAGUGAACUUGAAGGAAAAAAAAGAUCACAAAAUACACAGAAGAAACCACAAUAAUUGAGAGUUGAAAAAAUACAAUCUGUAGAUUGCCCUCCCAAGGAGCUCAGAUACUGAAAUUCUCAGAAACAACACUACGUGAAAUGUUUAAGGAAAUGAGUUAAAGUGAGAAGCCAGCAGGAGACCCCCACAGUGACCGGCGAGCCGCUCUGUAUCGGUCCCCUCCUUUGCAGCCUUCUCUUCUGGAACAAUCUUAUCCUCAAGCCAUUAGGUGACGCCGGUGGUGAUACCGACAGGGGCAGGGGAGAUGGAGAUGUCUUUGCUGACCCACAUCUGAGCAUCCGAACCCAGGCUCCUUACGAGGGCUGUCCGCUAUGGGAAGUGAGAUCAAAACGGGAGGAGUAUGUCCUUGCGGAUUGGCAGGCUAGGGUAAGGAGUCAGCUUGGCAGGAUGAGGCGCUGGGGUCAGUGCGACAUGGAGAGUCCCGGCCCGGGCAGGACAGGAGGACGCCACCCCGGGGUGGGGGCCGCGUGUGAGCUGGCUGUAGCAGCAGGCGGUGAACUGGGACAUCGGCAUGCCAGCGCUGUGGGAGGGUUUCCACGCUGCUGGGAGGUGGGGCCCAGGAGGUCAGAGCUGGGUGCGAGUGGUGAGAGCAUCUCCGUGGGCAGCAGAACCGCGGUGGGGACAGCCUGCCGCUUGUGAGCAAACAAACUGACCGCUCUCGCCGUGAUGACCGUUCCUGGGACGGCCUGCAGGCGGGGCCAGGGUCUGCAGACAAGAGGGAAGGAAGGUAACGAGGUUGACUUAUCUUCAUGACUGUAGGUGAUCUGUAGGAAGAGAGUUCUUGUCGGAAGUUCACACUGAGGUACUUGUCAGUGAUGCAGCCUCAACUCAGAGGCUUAUUCUCAAAUGGUGCAAAGAAAAGGGUUUUAAUUUACUGCAUGUUGAACUUUUCGGUAAGUUUUUUGUUUUUGUUUUUGUUUUGCUUUGAAACAAAAAAGAUUAUUAAAAACAAAAAAAAGGACUAAAGAGAAUGUUCAAAAAUGUAAUUGGUAGAGGCGCCUGGUUGGCUCAGUUGAUUCAGCAUCCAACUCCUGAUUUUGGCUCAGGUCAUGCAUGAUUCCACAGUUUGUGAGUUCAAGCCCCGCAUCAGGCUCUGUGCUGACAGUGUGGACCCUGCUGGGGAUUCUUGCUCUCCCUCUCUCUCUGCCCCUCCCUGUUCAUUCUCUCUCUCCCUCCCUCUCUCUCUCUCUCUCUCUCUCUCAAAAUAAAUAAAAACUUUUUAAAAUAUGCAAGGGGCACCUGGGUGGCUCAGUUGGUUAAGCGUCCAACUCUUGGUUUCAGCUCAGGUCAUGACCUCACAGUUCGUGAGGUGGAGCCCCGCGUCGGGCUCUGCACUGAGCAUAGAGCCUGCUUGGGAGUCUCUCUCCCUCUUUCUCUGCCCCUCCCCUGCUCGAAUGUUCUCUCUCUCUCAAAUAAAUAAACUUAAAAAAUUUAAAUGUAAUUGUUAAAUAGUGAAGGAAUCAUGGGUGUGUGCCUAUGUCCAAAGUCAUCAAAUUGUGUACAUUGAAUAUGUGCUGCUUUCUGUGUAUCAACCAUACCUCAAUAAAGCUAUCUU
RNAcentral lists this long non-coding RNA (4019 nucleotides) under Lynx pardinus (Iberian lynx). The record is from RNAcentral. Lineage: Eukaryota; Metazoa; Chordata; Mammalia; Carnivora; Felidae.